This 429-nucleotide ribosomal RNA is filed under the name Gemmatimonadota bacterium. Its description in RNAcentral is "Gemmatimonadetes bacterium partial 16S ribosomal RNA". It matches the Rfam family "Bacterial small subunit ribosomal RNA", at positions 355 to 776 of the family's 1533-position model. Lineage: Bacteria; Pseudomonadati; Gemmatimonadota. The record is from RNAcentral.
UAGGGAAUCUUCGGCAAUGGACGAAAGUCUGACCGAGCAACGCCGCGUGAGUGAAGAAGGUUUUCGGAUCGUAAAACUCUGUUGUUAGAGAAGAACAAGGACGUUAGUAACUGAACGUCCCCUGACGGUAUCUAACCAGAAAGCCACGGCUAACUACGUGCCAGCAGCCGCGGUAAUACGUAGGUGGCAAGCGUUGUCCGGAUUUAUUGUGCGUAAAGCGAGCGCAGGCGGUUUCUUAAGUCUGAUGUGAAAGCCCCCGGCUCAACCGGGGAGGGUCAUUGGAAACUGGGAGACUUGAGUGCAGAAGAGGAGAGUGGAAUUCCAUGUGUAGCGGUGAAAUGCGUAGAUAUAUGGAGGAACACCAGUGGCGAAGGCGGCUCUUUGGUCUGUAACUGACGCUGAGGCUCGAAAGCGUGGGGAGCAAACAGG